This is a long non-coding RNA of Triplophysa rosa, 431 nucleotides long. RefSeq lists it as uncharacterized. NCBI's taxonomy places the organism in Eukaryota, Metazoa, Chordata, Actinopteri, Cypriniformes, Nemacheilidae. The record is from RefSeq and is a predicted model, not a curated record. The transcript is spliced from 3 exons.
GUUUUAAAGCUGAUCCGUUGGUGAUACUGUAGUGUGCUCUACAGUGUUUCUCUGGUUGCGUUAUUAUUAACGUUCUAAACUGUUAAAGUGGCUGAAGCUAAGGAAACAUGGACAAGGUGGGGGACAAGCAUUUUUGCGACGAUCGUUUCAGAUUUGCAUCCAAGGAUAAUGCAUUUUGAGGAUGGAAUACUCAUUAAAGAUUACAUUCGGAUGAUGGCGUACAUGAUUGUGUUGUGUUUUACACUGGCCAUUUCACUGUCAUUCUGGAUUCUGUCCAUAACUGCAAGCACAUACUAUGGUACAUUGCAACCAGUUUCACCAUGGCGAUGGCUGUUUUCAGUGCUCAUCCCUCUUAUGAUCACCUUCCAAGCCUUUAAAAAGAAGAGUCUUGAUCAUGGUGGUGCUGUUGGAGGUGAGAAGCAUAUUUUGAG